RNAcentral lists this long non-coding RNA (1498 nucleotides) under Homo sapiens (human). RNAcentral's name for it is "HSALNT0098918". Lineage: Eukaryota; Metazoa; Chordata; Mammalia; Primates; Hominidae. The record is from RNAcentral.
ACUGCAAGUCAGCCUCAGCACCAGCACUCAGUACUCAUCAGCUGGACAAAGAGCUUCUCUGAGUUUCAGUUUCCAGAUCUGCAAAAUAGGUGUAACAAUCCCUGUGUCUGAGCAUCUGCAGGGAGAUCAAAUUCUCGUCUCUGGAACAUGACAGCUUCCAAAUCUGAGCCAUCCUGUCACUUCUCUUGGGUCAAUUGGGGUUUCCACGAUGUCACCCCAUCAGACUGUCACUAACAUGGCCUGAGAGCCCUGGGCUCGGGGACUGCCAGCAUGGUAGGUUUCCCUCCCCGUACUCCUGCCGUUACUUCCCUGAUGAGACCAUCCCCCAGAGAAGGGAAAGGAGGGCAGUUUCGUUCAUUUAGUGCAGAGCCUGGGAGGUGGGAGGAGCCUGGGCUAGCUUCAUUUUUUUGAGGUUCUUGGUAUGCUACAGAUGAGAAGGUUGCAGUGAUUGUGGUAUAAUUUCAGUGUUCUCACAACAAAUUAGAACACAGCAUACUUGUGGUGUUGACAGGACAACUGCAGAACUCAGUACAUUUCCUGGGGAGUUCUGAGUGGUGCAGUCUUAGGGCAGGAUACAAGCUUUGGGUCUCAGGAUGGCUGUCCACUUCUGCUGGAUCUGGGGUGCACCCUUACAGUCUGAAUUUCUAGAAAAAGGCAUAAUCAAACCCCCUGCAGAACUUUCACGGGAUCCCAUUCAAAUAAAACAGGGUGGAGGGACACGUUGAGAUGUUUGGAAAUAUCUGAAUAAGGGUGGGAUAUGGGGUUAUUUUAGGGAAUUCAUUGUUCAUAGGGAAUUCACUGUUCAUUGUCCCAGCCGUGAUAGCAUGGAAGAACAGCCCAAAGGGUCAUAAGAUAGUUCAGGAAAGAGCUUUACAAGUCAAAGUGACAGAGCAGCAGGUCCCCAACACUUUUGACACCAGGGACCAGGUUUAGUGGAAGACAAUUUCUCCAUGGACUGGAAUCAGGCUGGGGGUGGUUUUGAGAUGAUUCAAGCACAUUACAUUUAUUGUGCACUUUAAUUCUAUUAUUAUUAACUUGUAAUAUAUAAUGAAAUAUUAUACAACUCACCAUAAUGUAGAUCAGUGGGAGCCCUGAGCUUGUUUUCCUGCAACUAGACAGUCCCAUCUGGAGGUGAUGGAAGACAGUGACAGAUCAUCAGGCAUUAGAUUCUCAUAAGGAGCACGGAACCUAGAUCCCUCGCACACACAGUUCACGGUACGGCUCACGCUCCUAUGAGAAUUCAGUGCUGCUGCUGAUGUGACAGGAGGUGGAGCUUAGGUGGUAACGUGAGCAAUGGGGAGCAGCUGUAAAUACAGAUGAGGCUUCACUCGCUCACCAGCCUGCUCCGUGAGGUUGGGGACCCGUCAGAUACAGCAUUUAUGACCACAUGAUAACCACAGCUGAAUCCAGGUGGUGGGAUACACAGCUGCUUCAUUGUACCAAUCUCAACUUUUUCAUGUAUUUGAAAUUUUUCAUUAGAAGAGAGUAAAUUUUUUGG